AACGCACCUUGCACUCUUUGGUAUUCCGAAGAGUAUGUCUGUUUGAGUGUCAUGAACUCUUCAACCCCCCAGUUUCUUGUUAAACUGUGUUUGGGUGUUUGGUUUCUGAGCGUUGCUGGUACCUGCAAAGGCACGAAGCUCGUUCGUAAUACAUGAGCAUGUCUACAUUCGAAUUCGGAUUGACUCAGUGUAAUAGACUAUUUCGCUGAGGAUUGCAGACUUUAUUGUCUUGCAGGCCGAACUUUGAAUACAUUAUUUGGACGGCUUCUAAUAAAGACACACAAUCUUUUUUGUAGUCAAAUCUUUAGAUUAGACCUCAAAUCAGGCAGGAUUACCCGCUGAACUUAA
Molecule: unclassified non-coding RNA, 348 nt
Filed under: uncultured fungus
Lineage: Eukaryota; Fungi
Description: partial contains 5.8S ribosomal RNA, internal transcribed spacer 2, and large subunit ribosomal RNA
Rfam family: 5.8S ribosomal RNA (bases 1-52)
Source: RNAcentral